AGAGCGAACGCUGGCGGCAGGCUUAACACAUGCAAGUCGAGCGGGCGUAGCAAUACGUCAGCGGCAGACGGGUGAGUAACGCGUGGGAACGUACCUUUUGGCUCGGAACAACACAGGGAAACUUGUGCUAAUACCGGAUAAGCCCUUACGGGGAAAGAUUUAUCGCCAAAAGAUCGGCCCGCGUCUGAUUAGCUAGUUGGUGAGGUAACGGCUCACCAAGGCGACGAUCAGUAGCUGGUCUGAGAGGAUGAUCAGCCACAUUGGGACUGAGACACGGCCCAAACUCCUACGGGAGGCAGCAGUGGGAAUAUUGGACAAUGGGCGCAAGCCUGAUCCAGCCAUGCCGCGUGAGUGAUGAAGGCCCUAGGGUUGUAAAGCUCUUUUGUGCGGGAAGAUAAUGACGGUACCGCAAGAAUAAGCCCCGGCUAACUUCGUGCCAGCAGCCGC
RNAcentral lists this ribosomal RNA (447 nucleotides) under uncultured bacterium. RNAcentral's name for it is "SSU rRNA". It matches the Rfam family "Bacterial small subunit ribosomal RNA", at positions 26 to 518 of the family's 1533-position model. The record is from RNAcentral.